CCCUAAUGGAACCUACAGUGAGCAGAAGGGCCUGGGCAGAGCAGAUGAAUGCUUGCUAUGUCCUGCAGGGAAGUACUGCUACAGGGAAUGGAGAGAACCUCGCGGAAUUCCCCAUCCGACUGGAGACUGCCCCCCAGGAUACACAUGCCCCCCAGGGACUGGAUUCCCCUUCUCUUUUCCCUGUCUUCCUGGCUUCUACUGGGAUAGUUCUGCUGUGGAAGGAGGAAACACUUGCGAACCAUGUCCUGCUGGGUACUAUUGUGACUCUCCUGCCAUGACGCAGCCCAAAACUUGCCCAGCUGGUUCUUACUGUGCCAGAGGCAGCUCCCGUCCUGAGCCCUGCCCAGAGGGCACAUACGGUAACAGAAAGGAGCUGGCUGCACCCCUGGACUGCAGCCCGUGUGGAGGUG
Long non-coding RNA from Chelonia mydas (Green sea turtle), 410 nucleotides. RefSeq lists it as uncharacterized. The record is from RefSeq and is a predicted model, not a curated record. NCBI's taxonomy places the organism in Eukaryota, Metazoa, Chordata, Testudines, Cheloniidae. The transcript is spliced from 3 exons.